CCAACGGUAUUCUCGAUUCAACACGGAAGCUGGCUAUUAGGGUUUGACCGGAUUAUUUAUUUACUAGCCGUUGGAUCAUUAUCAUCUUCAUUAUAUAACCAACCAUACAGACCUACUAUUUCUUGCGCCGUUCACAUUCACUUCUCUUCCUCUUUCCACUAUCUCUGAAGUUAGGUUUUUAAUUUUCAUUUUGCAAUCUUCACUCUGUGCUCGUAUAUUUUUUCAUAGUAUCUAUUUCGAUUUCGAUUUGCUAUUUGAAAUUGGCUUCACUAUCUGGUCGAUGUGGAUUCUUUCAAUUCCCUUUAGACUCGUUCCCUUGAAGCAAUAGUUAUAUGUGUUGUUUUUUCAUUUCACUUCCACAAUCCUUUUUUUUUUGGUUCUGGGAGAAUGCGAAAACAACUAAAUUUUGAAUUAUAAAUUAGAUCUUUUCAUUGAUGAGUAUGGAGAAUGACUAGUUUUAACUGUGAUGAGUUCUUAACAGACCUGUAAUGAUUUGCGGGAAUGAUCGCAGAUUUAUUGAACAUCUAAGGGGCUGAGUUAACUAGUUCUUCACCCAAUUUUCUCUUUGAUUCUUGUUUUUAUAAGUUUUCAAUUUUUAAUUAUCGAAACUUUGUGGCUUCAGAUCUGGAUUUUAUUGUUGCAUUCACUUUUCAAAUGUGUUUGUAGUGUUUAAUUGAAGCCUAUAAUUGUGUUCCCCUCGCUAUCCACUACUACAAUUUCGAUGUUGUAUUUGGACGUCGGGGAACUAAAUUUCUCAAUAAUAUUUAAAUCUUAAUUGACUUUUACAGAUCCAGCUUCUUUGAAAACGUUUUGUUAACUGUGGUCGAUAAGGAUGAAGCAAAAUAUAUAAUCCAACACUUGAUCUGAUUUUGUGAUGCUAAAUAUAUCUAUAUGCUUCUGAAUCUAUACUUUUGUUAUAUAAUGUAUAUUUCUCUGUUUAUUUAGGGUAUUUUGACAGUAUUAUAUUGUCCCUUUGUAUUUGCAUUUUAUGUAUCAUGUGAUGAGUUUGGAAUAAAUCUUAGGACACCUUCCUACACAACUUAGGUUGUGGAUGAGAUAAAUUAUCCUUUCUGAUGAUGUGUAUAUGAGUUUCACAUUAUACUGUCAUAUUAACUUAUUUUUAUUACCACGUUUUGUACUAAUAUGAACUAUACUGAAUUGUAAUUGGCUUCUUUGUAAUUUUUUAGCUACUGGCCCUUAUAAGCACUUAGUUUUGUGAGUUUCUGAUCUAACUUCUCGUUUACAAGUAGUUAAAAGUUGGGAAUAAAUUCUGUUCUUAGAUGUUUUGAUAAACACAUUUCUCAGUUUGCUUUGGUCUUAACAAUAUUUUUCUAUAUAACAUAACUCAAUAUUGAGUGAGUUAUUUUAUAUAGAAGAAUAUUGUUAAACUUGGCAUGCUUAUCAAAAAAUGUAGAAUGAAUCAAACCUAUUCUAGUGUGGAAUAGGAAAUUGAUGAUGAGCGGAUGAGGUUGCACUAGUAGCAGCAGCAAGUUCUUUGACAUGCGAAUGCGGGGAAUGUACCUACAAGUGAUCUUCUUGUUUCUUUGGAGAGCUAAUUAAAUAAGUGACGCCUCCUUACAAAUUGAAUUAUAUCCUUUAGCCGUGGUAUCCUUCGGGUGAGUUUAUAAAGAUUAGUGAUAUGUUUGAAGUAGUGGGGAGUUCUAGUAAGGAUGCCGAAGAGGUAGAGGGUUCCUAGGACAUAUGAUGAAGAGGAGGAAAUAUCUUACUAAGAUUUUAAAACAUAUCAUAAAUCUUGAUUUAUUCCCAUAAAAUCGUUUGAAUUGCUCUGUUUUUAAGGGGAUUCAGUUUUAAUUUGUAUUUUUCAAAUUAUUUUGUUUCAUUCUACCCCAUUUAAAAGAUCUUUUGGUAAGUGUAUAGACUCAUAUCAUUUAAAAGAAGUGGCAAAUUUAUUAAUUAUAAUUUAGCUUCAAACUUGAUUAUUAGAUGUUAAAUAUUAAUUGUAAUUUAUAAUUCAUUUACUUACAAAUUUUUACAGUGAGGUUAAUGAGAAUUAGAGAUCUUGAAGUUGAAUAAUGAAUGAGUGAUAAAGUAUUAGUAAAAGAUUUUUUUUUGGUAAGCGUAUAUAUCUCAUCCUUAAUCUCGCUUAAUUAGAGUUUUAAGAAAAUUAAAUAUAAAUUAAACAAUACUAAACAAUAUUCUUUAUAAAAAGUGGAAAGUUUAUUAAUAAUAAAUUGUUAUAAACUUGAUUAUUACUAAAUAUUAAAUAUUAUCUAGAUGUAUUUUUUUGAUAAAGUAACUAUAGUACUCUUGACUUUUGCUUUAUUCAUAGAAUAAGUAGUGUUUUAUAUAUUUAUUUAACAUUUAAUAUACACCUUAAAUUUUAUUUAAUACCUCUGGAUAAUAUUUAUCUUUCAACAAUCAAGAUUGGAGUUGUAUCUUAUUAUUAUUAAUUUGCUACUUUUAUAAAUGAUAUUGUUGAUUUUUUUUUCAAAUAAUUCAAUUUUUCAAAAAAAAAAUUCAAAAAUUUAUUGGCGUUUGCUCUUAAACUUAAAUGAUAUAUAAAGUUGAAAUUGGAUCAAUUCAUAUUAAUAAUAUCAUUUUACACAAAAAAAAUUAGACUAAUGUUGAUGAGCUGAAUCACCUAAUUGAUGGUUAGACAUCCCUGAAUUUGAUGUCGUAAUCCACGUUUAUGAUUCACCCCAUGUGUUUGAGUAUCCGAGGGUCCAGGAACAUCACCACCACCUAUAGGAGAUUGUCUGAGAUAGUCAUACAAAUGAAUGAUGUGUCGAGGAAAGGUUGAAAACUAUUGUUGUGGUGCUAUGGUAGGAGGAUAGAUGGUUGAUGUUAAAUGAUCGUUGAGUGUUUUGGUUAAGACAACUAUGAUAGGGUGAUGUGUUGUGUGCAUAACGAUGUUGAAUGCUUUGACAUUUGUUAUAACUCAUACCUCUUGUCGACCAUCUGUGCCAUAAAAUUAAAAUAUUAUUUAGAGAUAAUAAUUGGUAAAGUAAGUAAAUAUAGUCCAUUUUUGUACAUACAGGCAUGUGAAUGGGUUGUUGAUGGGCGUUAGGGACGGUGUGAAUGGGUUGUUGUUGAUGAGCGCAAUAGACAGUAGUCAGUGUGUAUUUUUAUGUGUUUUUACACAAAAAAAACUAUAAAGAUAAGUCAAACACAAAAAGUUAUAAAGAUAAGUCUUACAAGCAGACCCCAACUGUAAUUUCAUAUUAUAUCUAUGUGUUUUAGUAAAUGUAAAUAUAUAACAUGCAUACUUGAACCA
This is a long non-coding RNA of Lathyrus oleraceus (garden pea), 3235 nucleotides long. RefSeq lists it as uncharacterized. The transcript is spliced from 2 exons. NCBI's taxonomy places the organism in Eukaryota, Viridiplantae, Streptophyta, Magnoliopsida, Fabales, Fabaceae. The record is from RefSeq and is a predicted model, not a curated record.